Molecule: unclassified non-coding RNA, 347 nt
Filed under: Hevea brasiliensis (rubber tree)
Lineage: Eukaryota; Viridiplantae; Streptophyta; Magnoliopsida; Malpighiales; Euphorbiaceae
Source: RNAcentral
AUAAUUUAAAGCCUUUUGUUCCUGAAAAAAAAAAAAAAACCCACCUUUGUCACUAAGGGGAUUUUAGAGGAGUGUGAUGAUCUCAUGGAUGGAGGGAGUCAAUGUCUUGCAUAGACAGUUGGGGUAUCUGGAGAGGUAGGACCAUAUCAUGGUAAUGAUUUUGGAUGAGAUUGUCUUUAUCUUUGUGGAGAUACAUGAGAUGAAUGGAAGAAGAUAGAAGAGAAGAAAUGGAGUGACAGUGAGAAACAUAGAGGAGGAGGGAGAGUUUCCGAGGGACUUCCAGAACUUUGUUAUUUCAAUUUCUGAAUGAAUAGAAAUUAUGUAUUUUUAACAUCUUUAAUCUUGGU